Prionailurus viverrinus (fishing cat) is the source of this 421-nucleotide long non-coding RNA. RefSeq lists it as uncharacterized. The record is from RefSeq and is a predicted model, not a curated record. NCBI's taxonomy places the organism in Eukaryota, Metazoa, Chordata, Mammalia, Carnivora, Felidae. The transcript is spliced from 3 exons.
AGAGCUCUCGUGGUGGUUGGAGCUCAGCUUCCUCCAACCAAAAUUGGUGUUGGGGCAGAGACAGAGGAGAGCAGCAGCUAUUUGAUCCUGGCUUUAUCCCUCCUCCAGACCCUGUGGAAGCUUGUCUGCUGGAGCCCUCAUCUAACUGCUCUCUGCCCCUUGGAGAGUGCUGUGGCCACACUAGGGAGGAAGUAACUGGCCCAGUGUUCUCACCUCAGCAGGACAGCACGGAAUGACCCAGAAUGACCCCGUUCGGGAUGGUCCUUGGCAUCGCCCUCUGUCUCUGACCUGUGGCAGAGGAAAGAAGGAGCAAGAAACACGGUGUCAGAGAGAGGGAUAAAUUAAGAGGCCAAACAUAAAGAACAUGAAGAACACUCAUGAUUGUUUUGUUAUUAGAAUUUGGGUUUACAUAUGUGUAUGU